Molecule: transfer RNA, 73 nt
Filed under: Canis lupus familiaris (dog)
Lineage: Eukaryota; Metazoa; Chordata; Mammalia; Carnivora; Canidae
Also listed under: 1 other name
Rfam family: tRNA
About the family: Transfer RNA (tRNA) molecules are approximately 80 nucleotides in length. Their secondary structure includes four short double-helical elements and three loops (D, anti-codon, and T loops).
Source: Rfam by way of RNAcentral
ACCUGGCUGGCUCAGUUGGUAGAGCGUGUGACUCUUGAUCUUAGGAUUGUGAGUUCAGUCCCCAUGUUGGGUA